This 304-nucleotide ribosomal RNA is filed under the name uncultured bacterium. RNAcentral's name for it is "partial 16S ribosomal RNA". It matches the Rfam family "Bacterial small subunit ribosomal RNA", at positions 506 to 809 of the family's 1533-position model. The record is from RNAcentral.
CAGCAGCAGCCGCGGUAAUACAGAGGGUGCGAGCGUUAAUCGGAUUUACUGGGCGUAAAGCGUGCGUAGGCGGCUUCUUAAGUCGGAUGUGAAAUCCCUGAGCUUAACUUAGGAAUUGCAUUCGAUACUGGGAAGCUAGAGUAUGGGAGAGGAUGGUAGAAUUCCAGGUGUAGCGGUGAAAUGCGUAGAGAUCUGGAGGAAUACCGAUGGCGAAGGCAGCCAUCUGGCCUAAUACUGACGCUGAGGUACGAAAGCAUGGGGAGCAAACAGGAUUAGAUACCCCCGUAGUCCCUGUCUCUUAUAA